CCUACGGGCGGCAGCAGUGAGGAAUAUUGGUCAAUGGACGCAAGUCUGAACCAGCCAUGCCGCGUGCAGGAAGACGGCUCUAUGAGUUGUAAACUGCUUUUGUACGAGGGUAAACGCAGAUACGCGUAUCUGUCUGAAAGUAUCGUACGAAUAAGGAUCGGCUAACUCCGUGCCAGGAGCCGCGGUAAUACGGAGGAUUCAAGCGUUAUCCGGAUUUAUUGGGGUUAAAGGGUGCGUGGGCGGUCGGAUAAGUUAGAGGUGAAAUCCCGAGGCUCAACUUCGGAAGUGCCUCUGAUACUGUUGGGCUAGAGAGUGGUUGCGGUAGGCGGAAUGUAUGGUGUAGCGGUGAAAUGCUUAGAGAUCAUACAGAACACCGAUUGCGAAGGCAGCUUACCAAGCUACAUCUGACGUUGAGGCACGAAAGCGUGGGGAGCAAACAGGAUUAGAUACCCUUGUAGUC
Molecule: ribosomal RNA, 460 nt
Filed under: uncultured bacterium
Lineage: Bacteria
Description: partial 16S ribosomal RNA
Rfam family: Bacterial small subunit ribosomal RNA
Source: RNAcentral